This is an RNA transcript of Setaria italica (foxtail millet), 6484 nucleotides long. It is a transcript of the gene named receptor kinase-like protein Xa21, with no coding region annotated. The transcript has 6 exons. The record is from RefSeq and is a predicted model, not a curated record. Lineage: Eukaryota; Viridiplantae; Streptophyta; Magnoliopsida; Poales; Poaceae.
AAUGAAAUGUGAAAUACUACUACAAUGUUCUGAAGAAUAUUGGGUGACCUUGACUCACACCAUACCUAAUGUUUGGACUCUCUAAAAUGGAAAAAAGGUAUCCUACUAUUCAAAACAGUAAUGCUAGAUGGUGAUUGCUGAAAGGAACACUCUUCGGCAAGUGGUUGGUUGGUUCACAGCAUGGGUUCUCCCACUUGUCCAGUAUGAUGAGGGCUCUGUGCUAGAUGGAGGAUAGCAAUUCUUGGAUGCAUCUGUCGCAAAAGACAUUGAUCAAAGACCAGAGACUAGGUGGACAGUGACUUGGCGAUUCACUAAUUAGUUAUCAAUAUACAAAUAUAAAUCAUAUAUCACUGUAUAUACAAGCAUAUGCUCUUGUAGCCACUUCCUUAUGGUCAUGGCAGGAGGCAUGGCACAUUUCUGUCUCAUUUCUGCAUUCAUCUGGUAGUGUUUUCAGGGAGCAGCAGUGCCACGAUGGACUACUUCAAUGCUGCUGAGCCCAUCCAAGAGCUGAUGUUUUUGACUGAACCCAUAGACUUUCAUUUGUAUGACACUGCAUUCUUUUUAUUGGAUAUAAUGGAAGCUCGGAUUAUUUAACAGUUGUCUCUGUAAUCUCACAACACAUGUCCGAAUUAGUGAGCCACCAUCGUUGUCCAUAUCUGAUCUUCUUACUCCUUCCGGGAUGAGCUUCAUCAGCUUUCUGUUCUUGGUUUACUGAUAGGUUGCAUGUGUGGCAUUGCAUCCUCUACUUAUACCAUCCAGUAGUCUUGGGGGCCAACGAAAACUAAACUUUGCAUGCCAAUAGCCACUUCUCCUCAUGGCCAGAGCAACACAAUUGAUCUACUUGUUGCUGUGCUUCUGUUCCUAUGCGCUGCUGUCCCAGGGGAACAAUAGCUCUACAGAUGAGCAUGCUCUCCUCUCCUUCAAGUUCAUGCUGUCUUCAGGCCAGUCCAGCUUGCUGGCUUCUUGGAACAUGUCCAGCCACUACUGCAGCUGGCCUGGAGUUGUUUGCUCCAGUCGGCACCCCGACAGGGUCGUCGCCCUGAACUUGGGCUCCUUCAACCUCUCUGGACACAUCAGUCCCUUCCUAGGCAACCUGUCCUUUCUUCGGAAGCUGGUCCUCUGUGAGAACCAGCUCAUCGGGCAGAUACCACUGGAGCUUGGUCAUCUUGGCAGGCUUCAAGUGUUGAAUAUGAGCCAGAAUCAUCUCGAAGGAAGCAUCCCUAAGACCUUGGGAGGAUGCAGGAAGCUCAAGAAGCUCGACCUACAUGAUAACCAACUCCAAGGUGAGAUCCCGUAUGAGAUAGGCACCUUGGGAAACCUGGUCUCCUUGAAUUUUGGUAGAAAUGGUUUGACAGGAGAGAUACCUCGAUCUCUAUCAGGCUUGAUAUCCAUCAAACAAUUAUCUUUGUACACAAACAGAUUAUUUGGUGAGAUACCACAUUUUGGGGGUAAUUUCACCAACCUCCAGCUUCUUGAGCUCCAUGAAAACAUGCUAUCAGGUGCUAUCCCUUCAUCCUUGGGCAUGUUGCCCAGUUUAUCUGGGCUCAGCUUAGGCUUUAACAGUUUAAGUGGCUUGAUCCCAACUUCCCUUUGGAACAUUUCCUCGCUUAUUCGGUUCUCUGUCCAUCAUAACAUGUUAAGUGGAACAAUUCCUCGAAAUGCAUUCAAUAAUGUUCCCCAUCUGCGGGUGUUAUUCAUGGAUAACAACCAGUUAUAUGGCCCUAUCCCAGUCUCAAUAUCUAAUUCUUCGGAUAUGAUGAUGCUUCAGGUCAUGAAUAAUUCUUUCAGUGGAAUUCUUCCUCCAGCACUUGGAAGACUAAGAAGUCUCAGUUUUCUGCAGCUCAGUUUCAAUUAUUUUCAAGCUAAAGAACCAAAAGAUUGGGAUUUCCUAACUGCGUUAACAAACUGCUCUGAGUUACAGGUUUUGGAUCUGUCGUUGAACAGUUUUGGGGGAGUUCUUCCUGAUUCGCUUUCCAAUCUUUCUGCUUCGCUAGAACAUCUUUUCUUGUUAGACAAUGAAAUCUCAGGAAACAUUCCUAAAGACAUCGGCAAUCUCAUUAGCUUGCAAACACUUGCUCUUGGUGGCAACUUCUUCUCAGGAGUUCUUCCCUCUUCCUUGUGCAGUCUUAAAAGCUUGGUCAGGCUUUAUCUAGUUGAUAAUGACAUAACCGGAACAAUCCCGCUGGCCAUAGGAAAUCUUUCAGAACUAGCUGAUCUGGAACUCUCUUCCAAUUACAUUAGGGGUACAAUACCAAGCACACUUGGAAACCUCACAAAGCUGUCAAUGCUGGGCCUUUCACAAAAUUACUUGGCUGGCCCAAUUCCUAGAGAAAUAUUCAGCAUCUCCACACUUUCCCUUGGUUUGUAUCUGUCUAACAAUAACUUGGAGGGAUCAUUGCCACAAGAAAUUGGGAACCUAAAAAAUCUCAUAUCAUUUGAUGCAGAGUCUAACAGCUUAUCAGGGGAAAUCCCUACCACCAUAGGUGAUUGUGAACUUCUCUUGAAUCUUUUUCUCCAAAACAACACCUUAAAUGGCAGUAUCCCAUUAGCCUUGAGCCAAAUGAGUGGUCUAGAAAUUAUUGACCUCUCCAGCAACAAUUUAUCAGGCCAGCUACCCAAGUCCUUAGGGAAUCUUACCAUGCUCCACUAUCUCAACCUCUCAUUCAAUAACCUAUCUGGAGAAGUGCCUGAUUUUGGCCUUUUUACAAACUUUACUGCAAUCUCAAUCCAAGGCAAUGACAAACUUUGUGGUGGCGUUCCUGGUCUGCAUUUGCCAGCAUGCCCUGUACAAUUAUCAAAGAAAAAACAUAAAUUCCUAGUGAUUCCUAUCGUUAUUUCUCUUGUGACAACACUAGUCGUACUAGUCUUGCUCUGCAUGCUUCUUAUUUGGCGCAAGAAAAUCAAAACAAAUAUCCUAUCAACACAUUCCAUGCAAGGCCACCCAUUGAUCUCUUAUUCACAACUGCUAAGAGCAACAAAUAGUUUCUCAGAAACAAAUUUAUUGGGCUCAGGAUCAUUUGGAUCUGUAUACAAGGGAGAAUUGAAUGCUCAAGAAGGUGGAAGCACAAAUCUUGUUGCUGUGAAGGUAUUGAAACUUCAAACUCCCAAGGCACUCAAGAGUUUCACUGCUGAAUGUGAAGCACUACGGAAUAUGCGGCACCGAAAUCUUGUCAAGAUACAUACAAUUUGUUCAAGCAUUGAUACCAUGGGAAAUGAUUUCAGAGCAAUUGUGUAUGACUUCAUGCCUAAUGGUAGUUUAGAAAGUUGGCUACAUCCAGACAUAAAUUGUCUGGCAGAGCAAAGAUACUUGAAUCUCUUGGAAAGAGUGACCAUACUCCUUGAUGUGGCUUAUGCAUUAGAUCACCUUCAUUGCCAUGGACCUGAACCUGUUGUGCAUUGUGAUAUCAAGUCAAGUAAUGUGCUUUUGGAUGCUGAUAUGGUAGCCCAUGUUGGGGACUUUGGACUCGCUAAGGUUCUUGUUCAGGGCAGCUCAUUGUUGCAACAGUCAGCAAGCUCAAUGGGAUUUAGAGGGACAAUUGGAUAUGCUGCUCCAGAGUAUGGUGCUGGAAACAUGGUAUCAACACAUGGAGACAUUUACAGUUAUGGAAUUUUGGUCCUGGAAACAAUAACUGGAAAUAGGCCCACUGACAGCAGAUAUAGACAAGGAUUGGACCUCCGUGAACACGUUGAUCUAUCCCUCCAUGAUAGAACUAUGGACGCUGUUGACACGCGCUUGUUAGUAGACCUUGAAAAUGAGCUUCAUACCAUCGGUGAUUCUUCGUACAAUAGGAAGAUUGAUUGCAUUGUUUCCCUUUUGAGUCUUGGAGUAUCCUGCACCCAGGAAUUGCCGUCACAAAGAAUGCCAACAGAAUCUAUCAUCAAAGAGCUACUGGCCAUCAAAGAUUCACUCCUGAGAGAACAGAGAACAUGACAGGAGGACGAUAUGCCAAUGCAGCGACAGUCCUCUUUUCCUUCUCAAGUGUCUGAAGCUUAUUCCUGCGGUUGCAUUUUCCACAAGUUUUUCUACAGUUGAAAUUACCGGCUGCCACUGGGUUCUCUUCGGCCCCUGGAGGUGGUGCUCCUCUGCAGGGCGGGGCCCAGGCGGCGGUACUGGCGGCGAUGGUGGAAGCAGAAUCCAGUUUUCAGUUACCAAAAAAAAAUACUCAUGUUAAAUCCUUCAUCCAGGGAAAGACAAUUUGAAUGUUUGUUCCACCAUGGUUGAUCCGCAGCGGGCAUAAGCUAUACCUGAAGGCAGGCAGGACUGUAGCCACUUGUGAUGGGGGGCUACAAAAAGCUUUCACCCUGUUCGCUUCAGCUUAUUCAGCCGGCUUAUCAGCCACCGAACAGUGUUUUCCUCUCACAACAAAUCAGCCGUUUCAGCUUUUCAGCCGGCUUAUAAGCUGAAGCGAACAGGCCCUUUAACGCCAUUCCUAUGUUGAGAGAAUUCUAUUCUCAUACAAGGCGCAGGUAACCGCAACCAAUUCUACAGAAUGCUACUUACUGAGGUGACCCCUGAUAACAAUCCAAAGACUCUCGUCUGACCCACCCAACAAGAAAGUUAGCCAUAGGGCAACGUUAAAUCUCCAUGGUUUCCACUGUAACAAAGACGAUGUCCAUGGCACAGUGAAACAGUCAAAACAGAGACAGUAGUACAACGUUGACGUUUAAACCAUACAGGUAAAAAAGAUACUUUAAACUAAAAGAAAAUUAGAGGAGCAUAAUUUUAAGCAAGUCCCCCAUAAACUGGAUUGUAGGAAUGAUAGAACACAAAUCACACCAUCCAUGUCCACUUAAGUUUUGACCAAUUCAUGAUUUGUACUUUCUUUACUCCGUCACCUCUACUCCUUUUAGUAAAAUAAAUAGUACUAAUAAACAACUAUGCUAGAGAAAUACUGGAACCCCAUUUCAUGGAUAAAAAAUCCCCCCUUCUUUUGUUCUAAUAAUAGUAUGAUCUUGGAACCACAAUUCCUUUUAACAUCCCUUAGAACCACCAAUUUUUAAUAUUAAUACAUUUAUAAAUAGUUUUCUGAAAACAUUAUUAUUAAAAUACUUUUCAGACAAACGAAAACAUUCAGUACGAGUUAGAUUAUCAAUCAAAUUUGGUUUAGUCUACCCACACACGUUUGGAAUCUACACUUUUAGGAGGAGAGCAAGUUUUGCUCACUGAAAUGUGGGCACACCUGUCAGUAACCUCUCUCCUAUUCCGCUUUCUCGACCUGGAUUGGGGUCGUCUCGGCACGAGGCCCGGGGACUGCAGCCGCCGCGGCGGUGGCGAUGAAGACGCGACGGCGCCACGCCGCGGUUCCGGCGUCCGCCCGCCGCCGCAAACUUUGCUGGCCGCGGCGGCUGCGCGAGCGAGAUGUGCUCGUGGAUGGCGCCGUCCGCCGCCUAGAAGCGUAUGAUGGGGGAGCAUCCGGGUAGGAGGCCACGCGCCGCUGGAUCUCGUGGUUCUUAGCGAAGAUGGUGGCAUCGGUGGCUUACAUGCAGAUGUGCAUGCCAUAAUUGAUUUGCAUGCAUGGAGGGCAUUGUAGACCUCUUAUGUCAAAUAAGCCACUUGGGAACUAAAAACUAGCUAUAUUAUGGGACAAAAUUUGAAUGCUAGAAGUAGCUACGUUCUGGAAUGGAGGUAAUAUCAUUCAACAACUUUGUCGGAGAAGUGCCAACUGUAGGUGUUUUUGCAAAUGUUUCUGGAGUCUCAAUCAAAGGCAAUGGUAAACUUUGCAAUGGAAUAACUGGUCUACAUUUGCCUCCUUGUUCGAUACAGCAACGACCAAAGAAAACCAAAAGCUUGUGGUUGUGCCCAUUGUUAUUUCUCUUGUUGCAGCACUUGUUAUCUUUUCAUCACUUUACAUUAUUACAUCCUGGCUCAAGGGAAACAAAACAAAAAUCCCUUCAACAACACGCAUGCAAGGCCACCCAUUGAUCUCGUACUCCCAGUUGGUGAAAGCAACAGAAGGCUUCUCUCCUACCAAUUUUCUGGGCUCUGGAUCAUUUGGGUCGGUAUACAAAGGAGAGUUAGAUUGUUAAGAUGGGGAAGGUAAAGAUCUUGUUGCUGUGAAGGUGCAAGUAAGAAGAAGGUGAUGAUGGAGGUCCCUUGGGCGUACUAAGUGCCCUUCGGAGCACGAGGACGGAAAGCCUGCCCUCAGGACUCCAGAUGGGGGUGUUGUGCACCUCAACGACAUCUCGAUCUAUCCCUGAAAGGAAGAACAGGGACGCUUGACGAAGAGCACCUCGACCUACGAAGGGCUGAAUGCGCUAAAGACCACGCUGUCAGCCACAUGGAAUGACGAGGCCGUACAAGGGGCCAGCUGGAGGAAUCCGUACGAAGGCCGUAUUUCCCAUUGUACCCUGGAAUAUCCUUGGAAUCUAGCUGUUGGGUAACAGUAAAGUGUAAUUGAACGUUGUGGCGGUUGAUCUCCCUAUAAAUAGAGGCGCCACUGUAACUGAUGGGGGACAAAUCCGAAGUAAAUGAAAAUUAAUGCCA